Molecule: long non-coding RNA, 2623 nt
Filed under: Salvia miltiorrhiza (redroot sage)
Lineage: Eukaryota; Viridiplantae; Streptophyta; Magnoliopsida; Lamiales; Lamiaceae
Description: long non-coding RNA (SMIL_LNC006659)
Source: RNAcentral
CAAGAAUUAUGGUCAUAGACUACAUAAUAUAGACUACAUGCUUUGAAACGCGUCGUCUAUUAUGUAAAUAGAUGACGUAUAGCUAAAGCGUGUUGUCUAUUUACUGCGCUCUUAGACAACGCGCGUCAAACGCGUCGUCUAUUAUAUUCAUACACUACGUAAUACUUCGCAUGUCGUCUAUAAUGUAAUAGACGACGUGGGUUAUGCAUGUUGUGUCUUUUAAUUUAAAAUCAGAGAGAAUUCCUCAUCUCUCUCUCAUUCCUCGGCUGAAACCCCCAAACACAUGUCUCUCUCUCUCCUUCUCAAAGGUACGCUGAGAGCUCCUCAUCUCUCUCGAUAUGUUUCCGGCGAGGAAUCCGGUGCCGCUGUCGUCGACCAUCUCGCUGAGCCUCCGUUUCUGUCCUCUCUCAAUUUGUUCCUCUUUCUCAAAUCCUCUGGAGAAGGCGAAGAUGAAAAGCCCCAAUUUUUCUCCUUCAUCUGAAUAUCGUGCCCUAGCUCUUCCUCUGCCCAAAUCGCCGCCGCCCUGUUGCAACUUCCGGCGGCAUCGCCGCCCUCCGCGGCUCUGAAACUUCGGCAAAGUCGACGCCGUGCACCGGAGUGUCUUUCUCUCUCAAUUCCCGUUCACAAUAGAGCUCGUCUGCUGGCGAAUGGAGCUCGCCCUUCUCUCUUUUCCCGUGGAUCUCCGCCGCGAAUAGCUCCGGCGAGGCCGGCUGUCGCCGCCUCUGAAAUUGGCGACGCCAGCAUCGUCCCCUGCUCCACAUCUCACAUCCUCACUCACGCGCACCCGACGAAGGCAAGGGUCGUGCCCAGUCUUCCCAUCACAAACCACCGCCCUAGUUUGACGCCGCCUCUUCUCCUGCCGAUUCGGCAGCCAUUCGCUGUUGUUUCCGAUUGUCUCAUCGACAAAGGUUGGUCCCAACUCUCGGAAUUAAAACGUAAGGAAGUAAGCUAUGAUUUUCGGUUCGGUGUAAUCAGUUCUCUUAUUCCUUUGAAUACAAAAUUCUCAGUAAUGCUCACACACAUAUAACACUGCAAAGCCUCUAUGCAUUUCUUGUUAUUAGAGCAAGGAAAAGUGUCGUAGAUUGGCUGUCGUAGCAGGUCAAAUUCAUGGUUCAAAUACACAAAAUAAACGCCUCCUUGUGAAGUAGGAUAUAGAAUUGGUAGAUUCUUAUAGAUUGCAAUUUUAUCUAAUCCUUCAAAUACAUAAUCACUUCUCCAUGAGAAUGGGAGGAAAGGUAGAUAUGCCCUGCAAUUUUAUCUACUAAAUUCCUACAACUGUGAUUUAUACCCACUCAUCUGCAAGAAUUAUCUACUCUUAUUUCAUGGCUUAAUUGGGUAGUUUAUACAUAUUAUCAAAAGAUUUGGUAGGAGUUAAGAGUUAGGUGUCAAGAUUGAUCAAUCAGUAUGGCUGCAGGAGGAAGAAAUGAUGCAGGGAAAUGAUUUAUUGCUGGUUUAAUUUUUAUUUUUUUGUGCAAGAAUUGUAUGUUUUGACCUUGUCUUGUUUUGAUGGGGGCUUUGGUUGAAUGAGAUUUUUGAUAUGUGAUUUGUAUUGGGAUAAGUUUGUUUUAUUGAAUUUUUAAUGGGAAGAAGAAUCUAGACAAAGCUAUUGCUUCCUCAAAUCAUAAAGGGACAGGUGAGGUGAUAUUAUUUUUAUGUUAUUUUCACUCUAAUUCAUGAUUAUAUUAUUAUGGAAUAUUGAUGAUGUGAUGAUAAUUUCUCAUAUUUUUCCACCAUGGAGAGUGUGUGAUAGAAAAAGGUUAGGAUCACUAAAAUGUGAUAAAUUUGCAAUAAAAGAGAACGCAUCUUUAUUGCUUUGGAGCCCAUUUCGUGGUAAGACGUCGUUGUUUCUUAUUGAACUGACUAGAUACUCUCUUAUAUAGGGAUGUAUAAUAGUAUAAAGUAUGAUCAUGUAAAAUGAAGAAAUUGAAAUUGUCAGACUAAAUUGCAUUGUGUGUUUGCAAAUGAAGGGAUUUUCUUGUUGAAAGUGCUAACAAAGCUGGAGUGGAAGGAGCAGAGGAGUUUCUUGCAAAUCCGAGCAAUGGGCUGAAGGAGGUAAAUUUUCCAGCUGCGGAAGAAUCCUCAUGUUAGUUCAUGCAUUUUCCAACUUGCUUUGGUUUUUUUUUUUUUUUAGUAUUUAAUGAGGAACUCAAGAAGUAUCAAUCCAAUAUUAAUGGAGUCCCUCAUUAUGUGGUAAGUCCUGCUUCAAAUUUGUAAUAACCUAAUAAUGCAUUUUAUUUUGCAGUUAAUGUUAAAUAACAUAAACAUAUUGUGACAGAUUAAUGGGAAGCACCAGCUGAGUGGAUAUAUUGCCUGAUUUCAUACCUGAUUUUGGAUCUAAACUUCGCUUGGUGUAUCCCUAUUCUUUGAAUGUUAUUUCACAUUUUUAUUUAUUUUCAACUGGUGCAGCUACCGGAUCAGGCUGCCUAUUGAAAAGGAGCAAGAGAUGAAGUUUUCAAAGGAUGUUAAGAAGAAGAGAUUUUAUGAGAAUAACUGAAGUAUUGAAUGUUUAUUAUUUUUUUUUACAAAUAUUCUUAGUGGCUUCAUGAACAAUGUUUGGAUGUAAUGUUGGUCGAACGAUGUUUGAAUGAAUUUAUGAUUUUUUACUAUUAAUAAAUGUAUUUUU